RNAcentral lists this ribosomal RNA (253 nucleotides) under uncultured bacterium. RNAcentral's name for it is "partial 16S ribosomal RNA". It matches the Rfam family "Bacterial small subunit ribosomal RNA", at positions 524 to 776 of the family's 1533-position model. The record is from RNAcentral.
GACAGAGGGUGCAAACGUUGGUCGGAAUUACUGGGCGUAAAGCGUGUGUAGGCGGUCUCAUAAGUCGGAUGUGAAAGCCCCGAGCUUAACUCGGGAAGUGCACAAGAAACUGUUGAAUUUGAGUUCCGGAGAGGAAGGCAGAAUUCCCGGUGUAGCGGUGAAAUGCGUAGAUAUCGGGAGGAAUACCAGUGGCGAAGGCGGCUGUCUGGGCCAGUUCUGACGCUGAGGCGCGAAAGCGUGGGUAGCAAACAGG